Molecule: ribosomal RNA, 392 nt
Filed under: uncultured bacterium
Lineage: Bacteria
Description: bacterial SSU rRNA
Rfam family: Bacterial small subunit ribosomal RNA
Source: RNAcentral
GACGAACGCUGGCGGCGUGCUUAACACAUGCAAGUCGAGCGGUAAGGCCCUUUCGGGGGUACACGAGCGGCGAACGGGUGAGUAACACGUGGGUGACCUGCCCUCAGCUCUGGGAUAAGCCUGGGAAACCGGGUCUAAUACUGGAUAUGGCUCCAUGACGCAUGUUGUGGGGUGGAAAGCCUUGUGCGGCUGAGGAUGGGCCCGCGGCCUAUCAGCUUGUUGGUGGGGUGANGGCCCACCAAGGCGACGACGGGUAGCCGGCCUGAGAGGGCGACCGGCCACACUGGGACUGAGACACGGCCCAGACUCCUACGGGAGGCAGCAGGUGGGGAAUCUUGCGCAAUGGGCGAAAGCCUGACGCAGCGACGCCGCGUGAGGGAUGACGGCCUCGG